RNAcentral lists this ribosomal RNA (492 nucleotides) under uncultured bacterium. Its description in RNAcentral is "partial 16S ribosomal RNA". It matches the Rfam family "Bacterial small subunit ribosomal RNA", at positions 29 to 507 of the family's 1533-position model. The record is from RNAcentral.
AGUGAACGCUGGCGGUAGGCCUAACACAUGCAAGUCGAACGGCAGCACAGCAAGAGCUUGCUCUUACGGGUGGCGAGUGGCGGACGGGUGAGGAAUACAUCGGAAUCUACUUUUUCGUGGGGGAUAACGUAGGGAAACUUACGCUAAUACCGCAUACGACCUACGGGUGAAAGCAGGGGAUCUUCGGACCUUGCGCGAUUGAAUGAGCCGAUGUCGGAUUAGCUAGUUGGCGGGGUAAAGGCCCACCAAGGCGACGAUCCGUAGCCGGUCUGAGAGGAUGAUCAGCCACACUGGAACUGAGACACGGUCCAGACUCCUACGGGAGGCAGCAGUGGGGAAUAUUGGACAAUGGGCGCAAGCCUGAUCCAGCCAUACCGCGUGGGUGAAGAAGGCCUUCGGGUUGUAAAGCCCUUUUGUUGGGAAAGAAAAGCAGCAGGUUAAUACCCCGCUGUUCUGACGGUACCCAAAGAAUAAGCACCGGCUAACUUCGUG